This 207-nucleotide ribosomal RNA is filed under the name uncultured bacterium. Its description in RNAcentral is "partial 16S ribosomal RNA". It matches the Rfam family "Bacterial small subunit ribosomal RNA", at positions 568 to 774 of the family's 1533-position model. The record is from RNAcentral.
CGUGUAGGCUGUAUGGCAAGUUGGAGGUGAGAUCCCACGGCUCAACCGUGGAACUGCCUUCAAAACUACCAAACUGGAGUGCGAGAGAGGAUAGCGGAAUUCCAGGUGUAGGAGUGAAAUCCGUAGAUAUCUGGAAGAACAUCAGUGGCGAAGGCGGCUAUCUGGCUCGUAACUGACGCUGAGAUGCGAAAGCGUGGGUAGCAAACA